Molecule: long non-coding RNA, 425 nt
Organism: Fukomys damarensis (Damara mole-rat)
Lineage: Eukaryota; Metazoa; Chordata; Mammalia; Rodentia; Bathyergidae
Exons: 3
Source: RefSeq, a predicted model, not a curated record
CCUGACAGCAGCAAACCAGAUGAAUCAGGAACUCUUCCACAACUGAGUCACUUUAUACAAUUCCUUUCCUUCCAGGCCUGGGACCACUGCCUUCUAGGAGCACUGUCAGCAUCAGUAGUACAUCAUUACAUGGCCAACUGUUCACCAGCCUUCCAGUGUCUCCAGUCACAGGCCGAACGUCAUAUGCAUGAUGGGAACAUUUGCUUGACGUGACGUGUGCUGCUCUGAGUGGUGAGGAGUGUGGAUUCCAUACACAGAAGGGGAAGCUCAGAAAAGGAACAUGGUUCCCCUGGGAAAAUCCGGAAAGAAAGUGUUGAGCUGUGGGAUUUACACCAUUUCACUGAAAUGGAAAUAAAAACAAAAGGACGGACUCUCGCUGCCAAACAGAUGAGGAAUGUAAAGCUUUCCAAAAAGGACACUAAAAA